This 253-nucleotide ribosomal RNA is filed under the name uncultured bacterium. RNAcentral describes it as "partial 16S ribosomal RNA". It matches the Rfam family "Bacterial small subunit ribosomal RNA", at positions 524 to 776 of the family's 1533-position model. The record is from RNAcentral.
UACGGAGGGGGCUAGCGUUGUUCGGAAUUACUGGGCGUAACGCGCACGUAGGCGGCUUUGCAAGUUAGAGGUGAAAGCCCGGAGCUCAACUCCGGAAUUGCCUUUAAAACUGCAUCGCUAGAAUUGUGGAGAGGUGAGUGGAAUUCCGAGUGUAGAGGUGAAAUUCGUAGAUAUUCGGAGGAACACCAGUGGCGAAGGCGACUCACUGGACACAUAUUGACGCUGAGGUGCGAAAGCGUGGGGAGCAAACAGG